This 141-nucleotide non-coding RNA is filed under the name Veillonella magna. Its description in RNAcentral is "glmS glucosamine-6-phosphate activated ribozyme". It matches the Rfam family "glmS glucosamine-6-phosphate activated ribozyme aptamer", at positions 9 to 153 of the family's 167-position model. From Rfam's summary of the family: This entry contains a glucosamine-6-phosphate activated ribozyme that is found in the mRNA for GlmS. The record is from RNAcentral. Lineage: Bacteria; Bacillati; Bacillota; Negativicutes; Veillonellales; Veillonellaceae.
AAUAGCGCAAGUACUGAACGGAGACAGACGAUUUCAGUAGACGAGGUAGAGGAGUAUCGAAGUGUCAGCGGAUGCCUCUCGGCCCGAUAGGGUCGUCAGCGAAACAGCAAAGACCGAUGGUGACAUCGGAGACAAAGGGUU